RNAcentral lists this ribosomal RNA (406 nucleotides) under uncultured bacterium. RNAcentral describes it as "partial 16S ribosomal RNA". It matches the Rfam family "Bacterial small subunit ribosomal RNA", at positions 30 to 526 of the family's 1533-position model. The record is from RNAcentral.
AUUGAACGCUGGCGGCAGGCCUAACACAUGCAAGUCGAGCGAGCGGCGCACGGGUGAGUAAUGUCUGGGAAACUGCCUGAUGGAGGGGGGUAACUCCUGGAAACGGUAGCUAAUACAGCCUACCAUCACAUGUGCCCAGAUGGGGUUAGCUAGUAGGGGGGGUAACGGCUCACCUAGGCGCCGAUCCCUAGCUGGUCUGAGAGGAUGACCAGCAACACUGGAACUGAGACACGGUCCAGACUCCUACGGGAGGCAGCAGGGGGGAAUAUUGCACAAUGGGCGCAAGCCUGAUACAGCCAUGCCGCGUGUGUGAAGAAGGCCUUCGGGUUGUAAAGCACUUUCAGCGGGGAGGCGUUACCCGCAGAAGAAGCACCGGCUAACUCCGUGCCAGCCGCCGCGGUAAUAC